AUUAUGAUAUUCUAAUAAUUCCGCCUACGAGAGUCAGGGGUAGGUCGUUUAAACUCGGGUAUCGGCUCAGCGUGGUCCCUUAAGAAGGGCAGGUACCGGUACUCCCAGCUGAGCCGUUAGGAGCGGCAGCAGCAGCGGAAGGAGGAGGGGGAGGCGGACGAGAGGGAGACGCGGGCGGACUUGAGGAGGCCAUCGCGUCCGCUGGAGGCGGCUAGGACGAGGCGGGAGCGGUAGCGCCGGCGCGAGGAUCGGUGGAAGAAGCGGGAUGGGGCGGUGCUGCCGCCAGCGUGCCCCGUCACGCGGCGGAGGCAACCAAGGGGAACCCUCCUCCCGUGGCCAGCUCUCCAAGCCAACCUCUAGCUCGUCGACUUCGACGUCGAGAUGGCUAACCUUAGUAACACCCUUUUGUUUAGUUUUCGUGGUCUACUGUUUCCACUACGAAGUCUCCUUCUACGGCUCAAACACUUUCGCUACCCUGACCUGUAAGUCCGAGACUAGUUCCUUGUCCUUUUGUAAUUCCUUAGUAAUACCUCAAGACCGCCAUGAUAGUUUAGACAGCUUUUACUCCAUGCUUAAGACCGCCGUCUUAGGUCUUUCUACUUGAGACUAUAAAUGUUACACACCAGUAACCGGUUGCUAUGCCUCUUUUGCCAACUUCGAGAUGUAAGUCUACAGGUUUUCCGAGUUUAAUAUUACCUACUUAGUUCCUUCUACUUGAGAUUACGAGUGGUCUAUACCAGUAACCGUUUCCUAUGUCGUUUUUUCCAGCUUAGAGACAUAUGUCUACAACGUUUCCAAGUUUCACAUUAACUAUAUAGUUUUUUCUACCUUAGAUUAUAUGUGUUUCGUACCAGAAUACGUUUCGUCUGUCUCUUCUCCCAACUUCUAUAUACAAGUCUACAGUUUUUCCCGAAGUUCUUCUUCCGGACCUACUCGACUAUCGCGGCAGCUGAACUGUCCGAUCGUAACCGGACCCGGACCUCAUUACAUGAGGGAGGCAGGGUUUUAAGAACAGAAUCUAAACAAAUUUAUGCCUACAUAGUUUAGUGCAAAAUCAUAAUCUAUAUAGGCAUAGAUCUACUUAGAUUCUGUUCUUAAAACCCUGCCUCCCUCAUCAUCUCUUCGGUGGGCCGGAACGUAGACGCUUGGACAUUACGGGGAACUAUAACAUACUGUGCAAAUGCCAACACAGCACGCGCAACACCUGUGCUAGUACGACACAAAGCCUAGACUGAGUGAGCGAAGGACAAAGACACGGCAGUACCAUUACAUAUAUAACUACUACACGUCGCCAUUACGUUAUUGUACGCUGAAAGUCCUGAGGC
Molecule: ribosomal RNA, 1325 nt
Filed under: Triticum aestivum (bread wheat)
Lineage: Eukaryota; Viridiplantae; Streptophyta; Magnoliopsida; Poales; Poaceae
Description: partial small subunit ribosomal RNA
Source: RNAcentral